Molecule: ribosomal RNA, 479 nt
Filed under: uncultured bacterium
Lineage: Bacteria
Description: partial 16S ribosomal RNA
Rfam family: Bacterial small subunit ribosomal RNA
Source: RNAcentral
GAUGAACGCUAGCGGGAGGCCUAACACAUGCAAGCCGAGCGGUAUUGUUUCUUCGGAAAUGAGAGAGCGGCGUACGGGUGCGUAACACGUGUGCAACCUGCCUUUAUCUGGGGGAUAGCCUUUCGAAAGGAAGAUUAAUACUCCAUAAUAUAUUGAACGGCAUCGUUUAAUAUUGAAAGCUCCGGCGGAUAGAGAUGGGCACGCGCAAGAUUAACUAGUUGGUGAGGUAACGGCUCACCAAGGCGAUGAUCUUUAGGGGGCCUGAGAGGGUGAUCCCCCACACUGGUACUGAGACACGGACCAGACUCCUACGGGAGGCAGCAGUGAGGAAUAUUGGUCAAUGGGUGCAAGCCUGAACCAGCCAUCCCGCGUGAAGGACGACUGCCCUAUGGGUUGUAAACUUCCUUUGUAUAGGGAUAAACCUACCCUCGAGAGGGUAGCUGAAGGUACUAUACGAAUAAGCACCGGCUAACUCCGUG